AAGUGGUACGCGAGCUGGGUUUAGAACGUCGUGAGACAGUUCGGUCCCUAUCUGCCGUGGGCGCUGGAGAAUUGAGGGGGGCUGCUCCUAGUACGAGAGGACCGGAGUGGACGCAUCACUGGUGUUCGGGUUGUCAUGCCAAUGGCACUGCCCGGUAGCUAAAUGCGGAAGAGAUAAGUGCUGAAAGCAUCUAAGCACGAAACUUGCCCCGAGAUGAGUUCUCCCUGAGACUAUAAGUCUCCUGAAGGAACGUUAAAGACGAUGACGUUGAUAGGCCGGGUGUGUAAGCGCAGCGAUGCGUUGAGCUAACCGGUACUAAUGAACCGUGAGGCUUAACCUUACAACGCCGAAG
This 352-nucleotide ribosomal RNA is filed under the name Klebsiella pneumoniae. RNAcentral's name for it is "partial 23S ribosomal RNA". It matches the Rfam family "Bacterial large subunit ribosomal RNA", at positions 2591 to 2925 of the family's 2925-position model. Lineage: Bacteria; Pseudomonadati; Pseudomonadota; Gammaproteobacteria; Enterobacterales; Enterobacteriaceae. The record is from RNAcentral.